AGUGGGCGUAACGUACCUACUAGCCUACGACGGGUACGGGUUGUGAGAGCAAGAGCCCGGAGAUGGAUUCUGAGACACGAAUCCAGGCCCUACGGGGUGCAGCAGGCGCGAAAACUUUACAAUGCGGGAAACCGUGAUAAGGGAAUCUCGAGUGCCAGCAUAUAAUGUUGGCUGUCCAGAUGCCUAAAAAGCAUCUGUUAGCAAGGGCCGGGCAAGACCGGUGCCAGCCGCCGCGGUAACACCGGCGGCCCGAGUGGUAACCGUUUUUAUUGGGUCUAAAGGGUCUGUAGCCGGCCAUGUAAGUCCCUUGGGAAAUCUGGCAGCUCAACUGUCAGGCUGCUAGGGGAUACUGCUUGGCUUGGGACCGGGAGAGGUGAGAGGUACCUUGAGGGUAGGGGUGAAAUCUUGUGAUCCUCGGGGGACCACCAGUGGCGAAGGCGUCUCACCAGAACGGGUCCGACGGUAAGGGACGAAAGCUAGGGGCACGAACCGGAUUAGAU
RNAcentral lists this ribosomal RNA (500 nucleotides) under uncultured microorganism. RNAcentral's name for it is "bacterial SSU rRNA". It matches the Rfam family "Archaeal small subunit ribosomal RNA", at positions 234 to 734 of the family's 1478-position model. The record is from RNAcentral.